CCCUUAGAUGUUCUGGGCCGCACGCGCGCUACACUGAUGCAUUCAACGAGCCUAUCCUUGACCGACAGGUCCGGGUAAUCUUUGAAUCUGCAUCGUGACGGGGAUAGAUUAUUGCAAUUAUUAAUCUUCAACGGGGAAUGCCUAGUAGGCGCAAGUCAUCAGCUUGCGUCGAUUACGUCCCUGCCCUUUGUACACACCGCCCGUCGCUCCUACCGAUUGGGUGUGCUGGUGAAAUGUUCGGAUCGGCCGUUUGUCGCGGUUUCCGCGUCAUGUGGCUGAGAAGUUCAUUAAACCCUCCCACCUAGAGGAAGGAGAAGUCGUAACA
RNAcentral lists this ribosomal RNA (325 nucleotides) under uncultured eukaryote. Its description in RNAcentral is "partial 18S ribosomal RNA". It matches the Rfam family "Eukaryotic small subunit ribosomal RNA", at positions 1470 to 1796 of the family's 1831-position model. The record is from RNAcentral.